Molecule: non-coding RNA, 562 nt
Organism: Chrysemys picta bellii (western painted turtle)
Lineage: Eukaryota; Metazoa; Chordata; Testudines; Emydidae
Source: RefSeq, a predicted model, not a curated record
GGGUAGAGAGGAAUUAUUACCUCUGUACACUCAGGUGUGAUAUCUUGCUGACCAGGCCGGUUAGGUGAUAGCUUGAGAUAGUUACUGGAAUUUCUGGUUACAGGUUGCAUCAGGCACAUCAAAGCAAGAAUCCUGCACUUCAGCCUUUCACAGACCCCAGAGCCCUAUAAAUACUGGGAUUCAUCUGGCACAGAACCGCUGUCUCACUCUGCCUUGGUGCCUCUUCUCUGCAGUGACGCCGAGAUCCCAGCUGACCCUCAGCCAUGAAGAGCCUGUACCUGCUCAUUGCUGUGGUUCCCCUACUCUUCCAGCCUGCUCCAGGGUAUGGUCAAAGGAUCCAAAUGCCUCCCUGUGCUUCCAUAGGAGGUUACUGCGUGGAGGCUUUAGAGAUAUGUCUCUCAGAUGAAUACCUACGUGGAGCCUGCCCCAACUUCAUAACGCGGUGCUGCAAAAAAUAGAGACUGUCCAAUCUGCUGAAAUCCUGGAGGGAAACCCUCGACCCACGGAAAGAAAUAUUUGUCCCUCUCACCCUCCUUUAAUAAAGAGGUGUUGUUAAAUCGUC